This 1006-nucleotide ribosomal RNA is filed under the name Klebsiella pneumoniae. Its description in RNAcentral is "bacterial SSU rRNA". It matches the Rfam family "Bacterial small subunit ribosomal RNA", at positions 1 to 998 of the family's 1533-position model. The record is from RNAcentral. Lineage: Bacteria; Pseudomonadati; Pseudomonadota; Gammaproteobacteria; Enterobacterales; Enterobacteriaceae.
AAAUUGAAGAGUUUGAUCAUGGCUCAGAUUGAACGCUGGCGGCAGGCCUAACACAUGCAAGUCGAGCGGUAGCACAGAGAGCUUGCUCUCGGGUGACGAGCGGCGGACGGGUGAGUAAUGUCUGGGAAACUGCCUGAUGGAGGGGGAUAACUACUGGAAACGGUAGCUAAUACCGCAUAACGUCGCAAGACCAAAGUGGGGGACCUUCGGGCCUCAUGCCAUCAGAUGUGCCCAGAUGGGAUUAGCUAGUAGGUGGGGUAACGGCUCACCUAGGCGACGAUCCCUAGCUGGUCUGAGAGGAUGACCAGCCACACUGGAACUGAGACACGGUCCAGACUCCUACGGGAGGCAGCAGUGGGGAAUAUUGCACAAUGGGCGCAAGCCUGAUGCAGCCAUGCCGCGUGUGUGAAGAAGGCCUUCGGGUUGUAAAGCACUUUCAGCGGGGAGGAAGGCGUUAAGGUUAAUAACCUUGGCGAUUGACGUUACCCGCAGAAGAAGCACCGGCUAACUCCGUGCCAGCAGCCGCGGUAAUACGGAGGGUGCAAGCGUUAAUCGGAAUUACUGGGCGUAAAGCGCACGCAGGCGGUCUGUCAAGUCGGAUGUGAAAUCCCCGGGCUUAACCUGGGAACUGCAUUCGAAACUGGCAGGCUAGAGUCUUGUAGAGGGGGGUAGAAUUCCAGGUGUAGCGGUGAAAUGCGUAGAGAUCUGGAGGAAUACCGGUGGCGAAGGCGGCCCCCUGGACAAAGACUGACGCUCAGGUGCGAAAGCGUGGGGAGCAAACAGGAUUAGAUACCCUGGUAGUCCACGCCGUAAACGAUGUCGAUUUGGAGGUUGUGCCCUUGAGGCGUGGCUUCCGGAGCUAACGCGUUAAAUCGACCGCCUGGGGAGUACGGCCGCAAGGUUAAAACUCAAAUGAAUUGACGGGGGCCCGCACAAGCGGUGGAGCAUGUGGUUUAAUUCGAUGCAACGCGAAGAACCUUACCUGGUCUUGACAUCCACAGAACUU